AGUGAACGCUGGCGGUAGGCCUAACACAUGCAAGUCGAACGGCAGCACAGUAAGAGCUUGCUCUUACGGGUGGCGAGUGGCGGACGGGUGAGGAAUACAUCGGAAUCUACUUUUUCGUGGGGGAUAACGUAGGGAAACUUACGCUAAUACCGCAUACGAUCUACGGGUGAAAGCAGUGGAUCUUCGGACCUUGCGCGAUUGAAUGAGCCGAUGUCGGAUUAGAUAGUUGGCGGGGUAAAGGCCCACCAAGUCGACGAUCCGUAGCUGGUCUGAGAGGAUGGUAGCCGACACUGGAACUGAGACACGGUCCAGACGCCUGCGGGAGGCAGCAGUGGGGAAUAUUGGACAGUGGGCGCGAGCAUGAUCCAGUGAUACCGCGUGGGUGACGAAGGCCUUCGGGUUGUAAAGCCCUUUUGUUGGGAAAGAAAAGCAGCAGGUUAAUACCACGCUGUUGUGACGGUACCCAAAGAAUAAGCACCGGCUAACUUCGUG
Molecule: ribosomal RNA, 492 nt
Filed under: uncultured bacterium
Lineage: Bacteria
Description: partial 16S ribosomal RNA
Rfam family: Bacterial small subunit ribosomal RNA
Source: RNAcentral